UAAAAUGCUACAAGAUAUUAUUUCUCUUUUUUAUCAUAAAUAAUCGCAUUUUUACUUUUACAAAUGUCAUUAGAUGCAAAUUCAUGAAUCAUGAUAAAAAAUAAACAUUUAUUAAAUGCAUAUUCUGUACACAAUCUAAAGGAUCAUUUUAAUUCACAGAAUAUGUGUUUGAUUAUUUUGUAAUUUUAUCAAGAUUCAUUGAUAUCGAUGUAAUGGCAAUUUUUAUAUGUCGAAAUGCCAUUAAUUAUGAUAAACAAUUCGAAUAAUAUUUUGAAGCAUUUUAAAUUGCGCGCCAAUAAUAACCAAUCAGAUGCCGAGUGCGACGCCUACGUAUUUGAGUAGAAAGCUUUCGUUGGGAGCACUGCAAUCGAGUCAAUCACCAACUUUUUAACGGAUUUUUGAAGCUUAAUCUCUAUGCAGUUAUAAGAAUUAUUAAAAAAACCAUCUAUAAGUAAUGUUCCAAGGACCAGAAAAUAUUUCUGAAAAAUAUGAUUUUUCUUGUGAAUGCUCAACUUAGGUACGUAAAAAUCCAAUUUUUCUAAUUCUAUAACCUUACUAUCUUUCUUGCACGUGGCUAUUGUGGUUAUUGUUACUUGUUUGAUGUUUUGUGGUAUAGUUUUAUUUAUUUUCUUAUGGGUGACAUUCUACUUAAAGCAUGUCUGAGUUUUUUAUAUUAUCAUUGCCUAAAAUUAGGGAUUAUAAAACGUACUUUCUAAAUGGAUGAUAAUUUUUGUAUAGUGGAAACUUUACUCCAAUACGUUGAAUUUAGUUUUGACAACGAAACCGUAUCAAUUAGUGAAUUUUAUUUGUUCGGGUAGAAAGCCAGUCACAAGAUCUGUGGAUAUUACAUUGUUUAAAUGGAUCAGAUACGACGAUAUUAGCAAGAUAUUUGUUACAAAAUAUAUGCCAGAACCAUAUACAGAUGAAAGAACUGCCAUUCUAUACGAUCUGAUAGAAAAAAAGCAUCUGCGCCAAAAGAUUGGCCUGAAUAUACGAUAAAGAUCGUUGGUCAUGCAGACACAUACAAACAGGGUGUAGAGCGUUUAAACGUUUUGAAAUUUCAAGAAUUUGCUUAUACAUCUGAUCCCGAAGUUGAAGCUUUUGAAAAAGAGCUAUAAUACAGGAACAAAUGAAAAUAAUGAAUCCUUCUAAUGCUGGCCUUGAAGGGAUACUUGAUGUUCCAAAAUUAUCCGAAUCUGAUAUUACAGCUUCCAUGAGCGUACAACCUGAUCCAUUAGCUAUUCGAGGAAAGUUGGAUAAAACCCUUCAGUCAGAUUCCGAUUGAGACACUGAAAAUUAUGUCAGUGAUGCAAUUGCUAAGAAAAUUGCUACAAGUCACGAAGCUUCACAUACGCUAAAAGACAAACCUGGUAAUUGCAAUGUGAAUUCCAUCUAAUUGUUUAACUUGAAUUCAUUUCUAUAUAUUCAGAUUUUAUUAUAGAAAUUGUUACACUCAAGAACUUGAUACGAGAUCAAAACAGUUGAAUGAAGUUUCUCAUUCAAAAGGAGAUUCAAUUUUGUGCAGAAUUCUAAAGGAAAUCAGAACCCUGAAAGCAGACUUGCACGAAAUUUCGGUGGUACAAAAAGAGUUAAAAACGAUUAUGGAGAUAGAAAGAAGUGCGCAAUACGUCAGUAAGAAAACUUUCCAAGAGGAAUAUAAUCUCCAGCUGCCAUUCAAAAAUCUGGAGGAUUUUCAAUUAUUUGAUGGGCGGCUUGCAAAAGACGAAGAAUGCUGUCAACGAUUCGUCAGUUUUUCAUCUUUAUACGUUUCUUACAAUUUGCAUUCCUUUUUUAAUUUUUCGCUUUUUUUGCAUUUUAUGCAAUUUGAAUAUCUUUCUUAAAAACAUUAUUUCCUAAUUUUAAAUUGGACUUCGCAUAGCCUUGAACAAUACGUUAAAAAAGUACACCUUCUGCACACACUUACUAGGUAAUGGACUGAUUAUUACCUUUAAAUACUAAUAAGAGUCAACUACAGAUUCUAUAUUUAUUUGGUGGUGCGGGUAAGCAGAGCAAGUUUCACAAUAAAAAAAAAGAUUAAUUAUACUGUUAGAAAUUCUAAGAUUAUUUUAGAUGGUACAAGUUGACAGGAAAAGAUUUCUAUUUUUGUGAAGGAAAUGUUAAUCA
This is a long non-coding RNA of Belonocnema kinseyi, 2124 nucleotides long. RefSeq lists it as uncharacterized. Lineage: Eukaryota; Metazoa; Arthropoda; Insecta; Hymenoptera; Cynipidae. The transcript has 4 exons. The record is from RefSeq and is a predicted model, not a curated record.